AAAUUUAGUUAUAUACCCAAUCUUAGACAUGGUUUUAUAAAGAAACCCUACACCGUUUAAAAACUAUAAACACACCCAAAAAAAAUCCAAAAAUUGACAGCUAUCAAUUUUUUUUAAUUUAAUAGUUGUUUUUUAGUUUAUUUGUGUGUGUUAAAUACCUAUAUUGUCCUUGUACUAUGGAUUUAAGAGAGGAAAAUCAGAUCUGCCCAGAUCUGCCAUAAAACCAAAUAUUUCCAUGUCUGCCAAAAAACCAAAUCUGCCAAAAAAACCAAAUCUGCCAAAAAAUCAAAUCAUAUUUAUUUUCUCCUUUCUCGCUGGUGUUUUCUCUGGUGUUGGAGCAAGAGGAGCUUCCAUUGAAGCUCAGUCUCAGACCUUGAAAAAACCUCGAUCAGAUGCUUUUAGCUCUACUCCUCAUCUUCGAGCUCUACUCCUCUUUCGCCACAUCAUUGUCGUUGUUAUCGUCGUCGCCGUCGUCGUCGUCGUUUGGUUUGUACUUGAGAUUUUUGAUCUUUUGCUUCAAUUAUGUGUUUCUCUUCGGAUUUUAGUUGAUUUUCGAAAUGUAUUUGAAGCUUUGAUGAUCGAUUCAACUUUUGUUACUAUUUCA
Molecule: long non-coding RNA, 604 nt
Organism: Prunus persica (peach)
Lineage: Eukaryota; Viridiplantae; Streptophyta; Magnoliopsida; Rosales; Rosaceae
Exons: 2
Source: RefSeq, a predicted model, not a curated record